AAUAGAUAUCCCGGUAGUCCACGCCGUAAACGAUGAGUGCUAAGUGUUGGGGGGUUUCCGCCCCUCAGUGCUGCAGCUAACGCAUUAAGCACUCCGCCUGGGGAGUACGGUCGCAAGACUGAAACUCAAAGGAAUUGACGGGGGCCCGCACAAGCGGUGGAGCAUGUGGUUUAAUUCGAAGCAACGCGAAGAACCUUACCAGGUCUUGACAUCCCGGUGACCACUAUGGAGACAUAGUUUCCCCUUCGGGGGCAACGGUGACAGGUGGUGCAUGGUUGUCGUCAGCUCGUGUCGUGAGAUGUUGGGUUAAGUCCCGCAACGAGCGCAACCCUUAUUCUUAGUUGCUAUCAUUCAGUUGGGCACUCUAAGGAGACUGCCGGUGAUAAACCGGAGGAAGGUGGGGAUGACGUCAAAUCAUCAUGCCCCUUAUGACCUGGGCUACACACGUGCUACAAUGGACGGUACAAACGGUUGCUAACCCGCGAGGGGGAGCUAAUCCGAUAAAACCGUUCUCAGUUCGGAUUGUAGGCUGCAACUCGCCUACAUA
RNAcentral lists this ribosomal RNA (547 nucleotides) under uncultured bacterium. RNAcentral describes it as "bacterial SSU rRNA". It matches the Rfam family "Bacterial small subunit ribosomal RNA", at positions 777 to 1322 of the family's 1533-position model. The record is from RNAcentral.